Molecule: ribosomal RNA, 682 nt
Filed under: uncultured Actinomycetes bacterium
Lineage: Bacteria; Bacillati; Actinomycetota; Actinomycetes
Description: bacterial SSU rRNA
Rfam family: Bacterial small subunit ribosomal RNA
Source: RNAcentral
AGAGUUUGAUCCUGGCUCAGGACGAACGCUGGCGGCGCGCUUAACACAUGCAAGUCGAGCGAGAACCAGGGCUUCGGCCCUGGGGACAGCGGCGAACGGGUGAGUAACACGUGGAUAACCUGCCCUCGGCACCGGGAUAGCCCGGGGAAACCCGGAUUAAUACCGGAUGGCCCUUCCGGCUCACGAGCCGGUCGGAAAAGGUAGCUUCGGCCUCCGGCCGAGGAUGGGUCCGCGGCGGAUUAGCUUGUUGGUGGGGUAACGGCCUACCAAGGCUCCGAUCCGUAGCUGGUCUGAGAGGACGAUCAGCCACACUGGGACUGAGACACGGCCCAGACUCCUACGGGAGGCAGCAGUGGGGAAUCUUGCGCAAUGGGCGAAAGCCUGACGCAGCGACGCCGCGUGAGGGAGGAAGGCCUUCGGGUUGUAAACCUCUUUCAGGAGGGACGAAGCUACUCGGGUGAACAGCCCAGAGGGUGACGGUACCUCCAGAAGAAGCCCCGGCUAACUACGUGCCAGCAGCCGCGGUAAUACGUAGGGGGCAAGCGUUGUCCGGAUUUACUGGGCGUAAAGAGCGUGUAGGCGGCCACUCAGGUCCGUUGUGAAAACUGGAGGCUCAACUUCCAGACGUCGACGGAAACCGCGUGGCUAGAGUCCGGAAGAGGAGAGUGGAAUUCCUGGUGUA